UAGCCACGGGAAUACCAGCCCCGCGAGUGGUCGGGACGGUUAUUGGGCCUAAAGCGCCCGUAGCCGGCCCGGUAAGUCCCCCUGAAAGCCCCGGGCUCAACCUGGGGAGCGGGGGAUACUGCCGGGCUAGGGGGCGGGAGAGGCCGAGGGUACUCCCGGGGUAGGGGCGAAAUCCAAUAAUCCCGGGAGGACCACCAGUGGCGAAGGC
RNAcentral lists this ribosomal RNA (208 nucleotides) under uncultured archaeon. RNAcentral describes it as "partial 16S ribosomal RNA". It matches the Rfam family "Archaeal small subunit ribosomal RNA", at positions 462 to 673 of the family's 1478-position model. The record is from RNAcentral.